GCUACAGCACACCUCCCUGACCGCAGCAUGGUCAGCUGCCAAAGGUGUAGACCGUUGGAAAUGGGCCUCCGGUGCAUGGCGUUGUCACCCAGAGGUGUAGGACUGGCAGCCCUUAGUACCUUAGUAAAGAUUCACGGACACCAUGCACGUCACCUGUACCUUUCUUUUACGACGAUGGAGGCAGUCUAGGCCUGAUCGCCGGCUGUUUUGUAUUACGUUCCAGUAGCCAAAUUACGUUCCCCAAUGUGACAUAGACAUCAGCGCAAUUUACAACACGAAAUUAACGCAGUGUCCAUUCUAAAUUCUAUGAUCUAACAUACUGCUAACCAC
Molecule: long non-coding RNA, 330 nt
Filed under: Dermacentor andersoni
Lineage: Eukaryota; Metazoa; Arthropoda; Arachnida; Ixodida; Ixodidae
Description: uncharacterized LOC126545571
Source: RNAcentral